This is an RNA transcript of Cornus florida, 1441 nucleotides long. It is a transcript of the gene named probable disease resistance protein RPP1, with no coding region annotated. NCBI's taxonomy places the organism in Eukaryota, Viridiplantae, Streptophyta, Magnoliopsida, Cornales, Cornaceae. The record is from RefSeq and is a predicted model, not a curated record. The transcript is spliced from 3 exons.
AUGCCUUCCAGCUCUUCCCUCAAGUCUAAACUCACUAGAUGUUAUAGCAAUUGAGUCAAUGAAGAGGUUGCCAGAUCUGUCAAAUUUGAAAAACUUAUCAAGACUACGUGUUUUAGAGUGUUCAAAAUUAAGGGAGAUUCCUGGCCUUGGAAGAUUAGAACUCCUAAUAGAAUUAUAUUUAGGUCGCUGCUAUAACCUACAUGAGAUUGAGGGUUUUGAGGCUUUGAAAUCCUUGAAGGAGCUAAACUUAUCAAGGUACAAGGCCUUGAAGAGGAUACCUGAUCUGUCAAGACUAACAAAUUUAAGGAAAUUAAUUAUUACAGAUUGCAUUGAUCUGAAUGAAAUUACGGGCCUUGAUAGAUUGGAAUCCUUGAAAGAUUUGAAUAUGAAAAGUUGCACAUCCUUGGAAAGAUUGCCUGAUCUAUCCAAAUUGGAAAAGCUGGAAGGAUUAAAUCUCCAUGACUGCGAGAAGCUACAUGAGAUCGAGGGUCUUGAGGCUUUGAAAUCCUUGAAGGAGCUGAACUUAUCAAGCUGUUUCUUGGAGAGGAUACCUGAUUUGUCCAAACUAACAAAGUUAAGGACAUUGGACAUUUCUGGAGGCACUUCACUAGGAAAAUUACCGGACCUUCCAAAUGGCUGUUUUGUUAAGGGUGGAGAGCACGCAAGUCACUGGUAAAAUUGGUGGAUGUUAUGGUAAUUAUCUAUUUUCUGCCAAUCUAUUUUGCCUUCGUAUGAUGGUUUUUUCCCCCUUAAUUGAUUGUAACUGUGAUUGUUUCUCUGUUCUCUUUGUGUGUUUUCAUUUCAGCGUUCUACUUUGAGGUGAUUUCGAGACUAUGGCUCAGUUUGAAGUGUGAAUGGAGUAAUGGAGACAUCGUUCUAUAAUUCUUGUUGAUUUUAGGGCUCAAUUUCACAAUUGAAGCUCCAAAUUCACACAUGCAUGCCAAAAGAAUGAAUGAAAGAUCAAUUCUAUAAUCUCUUCAACUUCCAGAGGCCAUUAAUCUGUUAGGGCUUCAUUUCAUGCAUUCAAUCAAUCUCUGAACAUAGAGAGACAAUCUUCGCUCGAGGAAUGCAUAUAGAGGAUAGUUCGAAAUUUCGGACAAGUGUUUGUUCAAUUUGGAUUUGGUUGCCGUCACUGCCCAUCCAUCGUUGGUGCACUUGAUUGUUGAUGCUGUGAGGGUUGGGUGCUGCCUGUCGACUCUGUGUUGGUGUCAUUCGACUUGUCCUCCUCUUCACUGCCUUUUAUCAAAUUUUGAUGCUGUGGUGCUCUUUAGUUAAUUUCCUUUGGUGGUGUUAUUGGAUGAUGCUGCUGCUCUUCAAUUAUCUUUGGUUAAUAUGGCAGAUCUGAAGUAUACUAGUGUGCUUAAUUUCCUCAGCCUUGUAUAUUGUACAUUUGUGAGUUUGUAUAAUUUUUUGGACUUACAAUAUUACUCGUAAUACACUA